AGCAACGUAGUUUAAAUGGUAGAAUUCCCUGGAGUAUACCGGGAGAUGCGGGUGCGAUUCCCGCCGUUGCUA
This 72-nucleotide transfer RNA is filed under the name Microcoleus sp. PH2017_01_SCD_O_A. RNAcentral's name for it is "tRNA-OTHER". It matches the Rfam family "tRNA". From Rfam's summary of the family: Transfer RNA (tRNA) molecules are approximately 80 nucleotides in length. Their secondary structure includes four short double-helical elements and three loops (D, anti-codon, and T loops). Lineage: Bacteria; Bacillati; Cyanobacteriota; Cyanophyceae; Oscillatoriales; Microcoleaceae. RNAcentral also lists the same sequence under 31 other names. The record is from RNAcentral.